Molecule: ribosomal RNA, 468 nt
Filed under: uncultured bacterium
Lineage: Bacteria
Description: partial 16S ribosomal RNA
Rfam family: Bacterial small subunit ribosomal RNA
Source: RNAcentral
GACGAACGCUGGCGGCGUGCUUAACACAUGCAAGUCGAACGGAAAGGCCCUGCUUUUGUGGGGUGCUCGAGUGGCGAACGGGUGAGUAACACGUGAGUAACCUGCCCUUGACUUUGGGAUAACUUCAGGAAACUGGGGCUAAUACCGGAUAGGAGCUCCUGCUGCAUGGUGGGGGUUGGAAAGUUUCGGCGGUUGGGGAUGGAUUCGCGGCUUAUCAGCUUGUUGGUGGGGUAGUGGCUUACCAAGGCUUUGACGGGUAGCCGGCCUGAGAGGGUGACCGGCCACAUUGGGACUGAGAUACGGCCCAGACUCCUACGGGAGGCAGCAGUGGGGAAUAUUGCACAAUGGGCGGAAGCCUGAUGCAGCAACGCCGCGUGCGGGAUGACGGCCUUCGGGUUGUAAACCGCUUUCGCCUGUGACGAAGCGUGAGUGACGGUAAUGGGUAAAGAAGCACCGACUAACUACGUG